AAUGUAUGGCGCCGUUGACUUUUUAUCCAACGUUUGACCAUUCGUCUUAUUCAAAAAAUUUAUGUAGCUACCAUUUAUUUUAUUGUGACUUGAUUCGUCAUCAAAUGUUCUUUAAGCAUGACAUAAUUAUUUUCAUAUUUGCACAAAAAUUAUGAAUAAAACGAAUGGUCAAACAUUAGUAAAAAAGUCAACGGUUUCAUCUAUU
Molecule: non-coding RNA, 205 nt
Organism: Oryza nivara
Lineage: Eukaryota; Viridiplantae; Streptophyta; Magnoliopsida; Poales; Poaceae
Source: Rfam